GAUGAACGCUGGCGGCGUGCUUAACACAUGCAAGUCGAACGAAGCACUUUAUUUGAUUUCCUUCGGGACUGAUUAUUUUGUGACUGAGUGGCGGACGGGUGAGUAACGCGUGGGUAACCUGCCUUGUACAGGGGGAUAACAGUUGGAAACGGCUGCUAAUACCGCAUAAGCGCACAGCAUCGCAUGAUGCAGUGUGAAAAACUCCGGUGGUAUAAGAUGGACCCGCGUUGGAUUAGCUAGUUGGUGAGGUAACGGCCCACCAAGGCGACGAUCCAUAGCCGACCUGAUAGGGUGACCGGCCACAUUGGGACUGAGACACGGCCCAAACUCCUACGGGAGGCAGCAGUGGGGAAUAUUGCACAAUGGGCGAAAGCCUGAUGCAGCGACGCCGCGUGAGCGAAGAAGUAUUUCGGUAUGUAAAGCUCUAUCAGCAGGGAAGAUAAUGACGUUACCUGACUAAGAAGCACCAGCUAAAUACGU
This 480-nucleotide ribosomal RNA is filed under the name uncultured bacterium. RNAcentral's name for it is "partial 16S ribosomal RNA". It matches the Rfam family "Bacterial small subunit ribosomal RNA", at positions 28 to 506 of the family's 1533-position model. The record is from RNAcentral.